UUAAUAAUUUUCAAUUUAAAUUCAUAAUUCAUGAUGCUACACGUGCUAUUCUUUUAUCCCACAAGAUUUUGGUCUCUAUGCUGCUAAUGUUUCUUUGACAUGGCCAGUGUCAGAUGAUAUGGUGAAGUUAAUUUUUAUUUUUUUGAAACUUGAUUUGUUUUUUGAAUCGAUAGGUCAAAACAGGUGAUUCGUAUCAGAGUUGUUGUGUUAUUGUUGAGAACAUGCAGAGAUGUGUCUAUGCAGUUCCAAGCCAUCCUUUGCAUCGUACUGAAGUGAUGAUGAGUCUCGAUAGAGAUGUCCAGGAGUCUCGCAUUUCUUCUACAGAUUUCUAUAAAAAGUUGCAUGAUGUGGUGAAUGAUGUUAAGAAUGAGAUAGCACAACUUCUCGUGAAUUUAGGAGUUUCCAACUUUAGCAUGACGCCUGUUAAGAGGAAAGAUGCAUUUGAACGAUCUGAAAUACCUACAGGUGAAAAUUAUUCAUUCAAUCUACAAAUUAAACAGAUCCUGCAUAUUCACCCACCCAAAGAGGCAACGAUCCCUGAUCUUCUGUGCUUUUAAGGCUGCCGGAUCUAUCAUUGGCCUAAUUUUGAUCAACUCUUUCUCUAUUGAUGAGAAGGAAAAGAAUGAAAAACAUUGAAAGAAACAAAUGGAGAGCUUGGAGAAACAUCAAGAGAGAAAAAGAAAUUUAGUUAACUUUUAACGUUUAGCAUGAAAUUUCACGCUUAGCGUCAAUGUUGCGUAGAGUGAUUUAAUUUCUCAUGUUUUGCACAAAAUUCCAUGUUCAACACUAAAGUGUUGAUCUAUCUUAAUGAGAAAAGACAAAAGGGUUAUGACUUAAAAUUGGGGUAAAUUUGAAGAUAACAACAUUAAGAAACAUUUCUCAGAGUGCGUAUAGCGACCAUAGAAUUCUCAUGAUUUCCAGAUCAAGAUUUUUCCUUUCUUUACCAUUUUUGUUGUGUUUCAUGUUUGUGUGUAAUUAAGUUUACCCUUGUUGGGGGUUUGGUGUAAC
Molecule: RNA transcript, 1008 nt
Organism: Cajanus cajan (pigeon pea)
Lineage: Eukaryota; Viridiplantae; Streptophyta; Magnoliopsida; Fabales; Fabaceae
Gene name: DNA polymerase alpha catalytic subunit-like
Source: RefSeq, a predicted model, not a curated record